RNAcentral lists this ribosomal RNA (253 nucleotides) under uncultured bacterium. RNAcentral describes it as "partial 16S ribosomal RNA". It matches the Rfam family "Bacterial small subunit ribosomal RNA", at positions 524 to 776 of the family's 1533-position model. The record is from RNAcentral.
UACGACGGGGGCUAGCGUUGCUCGGAAUCACUGGGCGUAAAGCGCACGUAGGCGGAUCUUUAAGUCAGGGGUGAAAUCCUGGAGCUCAACUCCAGAACUGCCUUUGAUACUGGGGAUCUCGAGUCCGGAAGAGGUGAGUGGAACUCCGAGUGUAGAGGUGAAAUUCGUAGAUAUUCGGAAGAACACCAGUGGCGAAGGCGGCUCACUGGUCCGGUACUGACGCUGAGGUGCGAAAGCGUGGGGAGCAAACAGG